AAACAGUCCAUAGAAUCAGCAUUUCCUCAAAUUGGAAGACAAUGCAUAAAACACCACAUUAGGGGUGAGCAAUAUUCGGUAGAGACUAAAAUAACCAUCCGAACCGAAUCAAUUUGGAAAUUCAGUUCAGUUUUAUCAGAAAUUCUGUUCACUUCAGUUUUAAUGUUUAAAAAUUUUUAUUUAUUCGGUUCAGUUCGGUUAGGUUUUGGGGAUUAAAAAAAAAAAUCAGAAACCAAA
This 237-nucleotide unclassified non-coding RNA is filed under the name Hevea brasiliensis (rubber tree). Lineage: Eukaryota; Viridiplantae; Streptophyta; Magnoliopsida; Malpighiales; Euphorbiaceae. The record is from RNAcentral.